This is a long non-coding RNA of Salvelinus sp. IW2-2015, 312 nucleotides long. RefSeq lists it as uncharacterized. NCBI's taxonomy places the organism in Eukaryota, Metazoa, Chordata, Actinopteri, Salmoniformes, Salmonidae. The record is from RefSeq and is a predicted model, not a curated record.
CGCUAUGCGCUCUGUUGCAGGACCUGAAACCCGUGGUUGUCGGCAACAAGCGCAGCCUAUGGGCAAACAAAGGGCUCCUCCCCUUCUAAGGAGACAGUCGGAGGCAAGAGCAAAUCUGUCACAAAUGCAGGUGUUGGACAUUAACAAUACAAAGGAAAAACCCUGAGGAAGAAGCCCCAACUGAUGAAAUGCAAGACUCUACUAUGUGUAUUCAUAACACAAAAUAUCUCCAUAACAACCACACACAAUAUAUCUCCAUAACAACCACACACAAAAUAUCUCCAUAACAACCACACACAAAAUAUCUCCAUU